UCGGGAGUGGAGCCAUGGGAGGGUAUCUCAAGGAUGAGUCCAGUGCAGGCUCAUCACAGGCUGCAGUGGCAAAUGGGGAACCAUAUGCCCAGCAGCAUAAAUGAGGCCGCGGUCUCCAGCUAUAGUAAUAAGGAUUAAGGAGUGCUUGUUGGGUUUUUUCAGGGGAAAAAAAGAAGUAAAUGAAUGCUUGCUGGUCUAACUAUGUGACACUAAUUAAGUUAGUGAACUCUUUUUAUAUGUUGAUUUGACCUGCAUUGACUUCUGCUUCAUUUACAUAUUUAAGGUGUAAUUUUAUGCUUUGACUAAAACUUUAUGAUCACAAUAUAUAUGCUGUUAAUCCUAAAAAUUUAUGAUCAAUAUAUAGUAUACAUAUAACACAAUUAUUUGCUAAACUACCUUAUACACAUAAUAAAUAAUAAGGUGCUCAGGAGUACAAAAAAAGAAAAGAAAAGAAAAAGAGCAUGUAAAUAAAUAUAGAAUAGAGAAAACAGAAAGUCAAAUAUAUAGUCCAAGUUCAAUCCGGCCUAGUUUUGAAGAAGUAAAAACAGAAAUUAUGACAUGAAAAUGCACAUUAAGGGAAAAAACUUUCAUUUUGGCUCUACUAAUUACUUCAUUCUUAACUCUUGGUAGUUCAUUCAUACAAUCACCAAAUCAUGUAAUCCACAUAUAAAAUUAUAUAGAUAAGAUUCCUCUUGCAGUUUUUGCCAACCAUGUGUUUCUAUCCUCAUAAAUCCGUUGAUCCUUUGUAGGAUAGACAUGCCAAUUGUUAAGUACUAUCAACUUGCUACAAUGUGGGUCAAUCCUUACACCAACCAAACAAUCAAUAAAAAACAAGCUUGUAUCAAGCAUCAUAAGGUAUUAUCUCUCUCUCAUCUCUUUCACUAAGCUAAGAUUCUUUGUUUUUUUUCAUAACCAAUAAUCCUUUACUAGCUUCAGCAUUUGAGAGUGAUUGGAGUGUCAAUUCCGAUAUUUUUUUAGUUUAUUUUUUAAUCUUGCAAAUCAAAUCUAGCCCCUUAAAUACCACAAUAAGCUCGAUCCAUGCCGGUUCAAAGAAGACUAACAUUUAGGCGUAUAUGUUAGAAUCAAAUUCAAGACCCCGUGUGUUAAGCAACUAUUUAUUCAGCUUACUAAAUGUAGUAAGCAAAGCAAGGAUGAUAGAUGACGUUGUUCUACCCUAAAUAAUGUAUCUAGUAGUAAUAAAGUAUAGUAUAGAAAUUGCUUCUGAUUCCAAUACCAUUGAGUUUGCGCAUCCGACAUGUCAUCUAUAUGGAUCGGCUGUUUCUUCAUUGAUAUCUCUGACAAAAUCCUAGGCAUAAGAGAGUAUCUUGAUCCCUGACUGCUAAUAAACUGUGCUGGAGCGCACCUAAGAAAGGAAUAAAAUAAAAUCCUACACCAACCUGGAAGAUUUGAACCGGCAAACAACAGAAAUUAAUGACUAAACAAACAAUUUACUGUUCCUAGAAGACUGCACAUGCAUGCUCAAUUUGACUUACUUUCACAGCAAAUCUGAAAGCCAUGUGUCAUACAACCAAAUUCAUUAAAAGAAGCGUUAACACUUUUUUUUUUUCUAAAAGGGGCAGAAAUUAAACAGCAUCAGAGUGCCUAAACGAAAAGGAAAACGUAAAAUACGAAAUGCAGAAGUUGAACCAAGGCGAAAGCUAGGCCAGGGUACAAUGCGACAGCGGAAGAAGAGUGUCCCCGAGCACGAUUGCCUUUUAUAAUAUGGCCUCCUCCUCUGCCUCUGGCGCCGCCACCUUUGCCACCUGCUUUUCCUAGCACCGUUGAUACCAUCAGAGCGAGAGCGAUGCCAAUGACCAUGAGUAUUAGAAUCAUGUUGGCAGACUUCUUAGCUGAUGGGAGCUUGGUCAUCUUCGUUAUCGUAGUUGAGACCUCCAACGCAGCGGCUCUUAAAAUAAAGGGGAAUGUUGCUUAGAAAGAAAGCUGAGUGCAAAAUCAUAUAAAGGAAGGGUAGGCUAUAGCUUUCUUCAUUAGAAAGGGAAAGCAGAAAGCUUUCCUUUAAUAAAUACACCUUAUCAUUUUUCUCAGUUUAUUUCAGAUUCUAGUGAUGUGAGGGAGAAGAAAGAGAAAAAGGUUGCAGUUGCC
Molecule: long non-coding RNA, 2103 nt
Filed under: Gossypium raimondii (Peruvian cotton)
Lineage: Eukaryota; Viridiplantae; Streptophyta; Magnoliopsida; Malvales; Malvaceae
Description: long non-coding RNA (GRAI_LNC007004)
Source: RNAcentral